Long non-coding RNA from Haliotis rubra (blacklip abalone), 1515 nucleotides. RefSeq lists it as uncharacterized. NCBI's taxonomy places the organism in Eukaryota, Metazoa, Mollusca, Gastropoda, Lepetellida, Haliotidae. The transcript has 2 exons. The record is from RefSeq and is a predicted model, not a curated record.
CAUAACACCAUUGUAUAUAGAUGUUGUACAUAUCAAGCAUGCAACCUUCGAACAGACAGGACCAGCAGAGAUGACCCACCAAGGUCAUGUGGAACAGUGGCUGAAUUAGCAACAUGUAAACAUGUAAACCAACAUGUAAACAUCGGGUCUCAUUUCUUUUGUUAAUGAAAUUGACAUGUAUUGUCUAAAUCUAAUAAAUGAUCAUUGCUGUCAGGUUAAAAUAACCAAACUAAUCUGAAAGUUUGAACAUCAUGUCAAAAGCUAAUAUUUAGAAUUGGAAUUGUUUUCAUAUAUACUGGACAAAAAUAGUUAGGGAUAUAUGUAACUUUUGAAAUUAUGAAUAAUGAUCUAUUUAUUCAAUGACACUCUGAUAAAAUAUCAAUCAUAAAAAUACCAAUAUCCCUAACUUAUUUUGUCCAGUAUAGUUUGUUGUGCAUUCUGAAGGAAAGUUUGUUUUGUUCAAAGGUCAUGUCAAAUGCUCACAAUGAUUGACACAGCAACUUUGUACUAUUGUAUAUGUUGUUUAUACAAACAAGCUCACAGAGUCACAAGUUAGUAUUGUUUGUGAUAUGUAAUUAUUUUUGAAUGAUUAAAUGAGUUUUUAUGUGUGACUGUCAUCAGGUCAGGAACUGUAUGGUGAGGUAUGAGAUGCUUUAUAGUGAGGUAUGAGAUGCUUUAUAGUGAGGUUUGAGAUGCUUUAUAGUGAGGUUUGAGAUGCUUUAUAGUGAGGUAUGAGAUGCGUUAUAGUGGCGUGGUGGUCACUGUGAGUCCCAGUCAGCUCUAAGUCUAUGCACACAGCCUUUUUAUGUCUUGGUAGAAGUCACAAGGCCUUGUUCAGUGAGAAGCCUAGAAGUGGAGCAGCCCAGUGGUUAAAGCGUUCACUUGUCACGCUGAAGAUCCAGGUUCGACUCCCUACAUGGGCACUAUGUGUGAAGCUCAGUUCUGGUGUCCCCUGUCGUGAUAUCGCUAGAAUAUUGCUGAAAGCGAUGUAACACCCAACUCAAUCACAAGAAGAGCAAUGGCCUUUGUGCGCUAUGGUUGUGCUAUAUGUCUGUGUGCUUUGCUUUUCAGUGCUGUACUGUGCUGUACGUGUGUAUCUGCAAACCUCUGAAACAAAGCAAUACUCACCCUUUGCCCAUGAUUACGCUUUAUGCUGUUCAGUGACAUUGUACUUGUCUUGCACAUAUUGCACAGUGUGGGCGGUGGGGGUAGCCUAAUGGUUAAGGUGUUUGCUCGUCACGCUGAAGACCCGGGUUCGAUUCCCCAUGUGGGCACAAUAUGUGUAACCCAUUUCUGGGUCCGCUGCUGUGAUAUUGCUAAAAGCGGCGUAAAACUAAACUCACACACUCUUGCACUGUGUAAUGUGCCCACUCAUGAACAUUGUCAAUUCUUCACUGGUAUGCAUACACUUGACUACUCCAAAGUAAUUCACAGGGACACAGGCACUACGUUCCUCCAUCCUGUGUCAGUAUUCUCAUUGGUAUUCUUCUGGUCAUGUAUGGCUAUAUUUAAGCA